UGGGGGAUAUUGCACAAUGGGAGAAAGCCUGAUGCAGCGACGCCGCGUGGGGGAUGAAGGCUUUCGGGUUGUAAACCUCUUUCGCUAUCGAACAAGGCCCGCUUAGGGUGGGUUGAGGGUAGGUGGAGAAGAAGCGCCGGCUAACUACGUGCCAGCAGCCGCGGUAAUACGUAGGGCGCGAGCGUUGUCCGGAAUUAUUGGGCGUAAAGGGCUUGUAGGCGGCUUGUUGCGCCUGCUGUGAAAACGCGGGGCUUAACUUCGCGCGUGCAGUGGGUACGGGCAGGCUUGAGUGUGGUAGGGGUGACUGGAAUUCCAGGUGUAGCGGUGGAAUGCGCAGAUAUCUGGAGGAACACCGAUGGCGAAGGCAGGUCACUGGGCCAUUACUGACGCUGAGGAGCGAAAGCAUGGGUAGCGAACAGG
RNAcentral lists this ribosomal RNA (420 nucleotides) under bacterium. RNAcentral describes it as "partial 16S ribosomal RNA". It matches the Rfam family "Bacterial small subunit ribosomal RNA", at positions 355 to 776 of the family's 1533-position model. The record is from RNAcentral.